GAUGAACGCUGGCGGCGUGCCUAAUACAUGCAAGUCGAGCGAACAGACGAGGAGCUUGCUCCUCUGACGUUAGCGGCGGACGGGUGAGUAACACGUGGAUAACCUACCUAUAAGACUGGGAUAACUUCGGGAAACCGGAGCUAAUACCGGAUAAUAUAUUGAACCGCAUGGUUCAAUAGUGAAAGACGGUUUUGCUGUCACUUAUAGAUGGAUCCGCGCCGCAUUAGCUAGUUGGUAAGGUAACGGCUUACCAAGGCAACGAUGCGUAGCCGACCUGAGAGGGUGAUCGGCCACACUGGAACUGAGACACGGUCCAGACUCCUACGGGAGGCAGCAGUAGGGAAUCUUCCGCAAUGGGCGAAAGCCUGACGGAGCAGCGCCGCGUGAGUGAUGAAGGUCUUCGGAUCGUAAAACUCUGUUAUUAGGGAAGAACAAAUGUGUAAGUAACUAUGCACGUCUUGACGGUACCUAAUCAGAAAGCCACGGCUAGCUACGUG
Molecule: ribosomal RNA, 497 nt
Filed under: uncultured bacterium
Lineage: Bacteria
Description: partial 16S ribosomal RNA
Rfam family: Bacterial small subunit ribosomal RNA
Source: RNAcentral